RNAcentral lists this ribosomal RNA (433 nucleotides) under uncultured bacterium. Its description in RNAcentral is "partial 16S ribosomal RNA". It matches the Rfam family "Bacterial small subunit ribosomal RNA", at positions 29 to 507 of the family's 1533-position model. The record is from RNAcentral.
AACGAACGCUGGCGGCAUGCCUAACACAUGCCAGUCGAACGAGACCUUCGGGUCUAGUGGCGCACGGGUGCGUAACGCGUGGGAACCUGCCCUUAGGUUCGGAAUAACUCCCCGAAAGGGGUGCUAAUACCGGAUAAUGUCUUCGGACCAAAGAUUUAUCGCCUUUGGAUGGGCCCGCGUUGGAUUAGCUAGUUGGUAGGGUAAAUGCCUACCAAGGCGACGAUCCAUAGCUGGUCUGAGAGGAUGAUCAGCCACACUGGGACUGAGACACGGCCCAGACUCCUACGGGAGGCAGCAGUGGGGAAUAUUGGACAAUGGGCGAAAGCCUGAUCCAGCAAUGCCGCGUGAGUGAUGAAGGCCUUAGGGUUGUAAAGCUCUUUUACCCGGGAUGAUAAUGACAGUACCGGGAGAAUAAGCGCCGGCUAACUCCGUG